This 5951-nucleotide long non-coding RNA is filed under the name Triticum aestivum (bread wheat). Its description in RNAcentral is "long non-coding RNA (TAES_LNC011217)". Lineage: Eukaryota; Viridiplantae; Streptophyta; Magnoliopsida; Poales; Poaceae. The record is from RNAcentral.
CACAUGAGGUACAAAUAAAACUGCAUCAUCUUUUCUUCACAUAAAAGUUCCGAUGCGAAUCCAUCCGGCUAUAUAAUAACAAAACGAAAAAACAUCAGAAGGAAGUAGGUCGACAAGGACGCGUACUACUUCAGAGUGGUACGCAAUCCUAUCUUAGAGGUCAUGUUGCUAGACAACAAUGAACCUACGAGCUAUGGAGAAGCGAUGGUGGGCCCGGAUUUCGACGAAUGGCUCGAGGCCAUAAAAUCCGAGAGAGGAUCCAUGACUUUGGAAGAAAUACUUGAUGGUCGUAAGGCUGUUGGGUACAGAUGGAUUUUAAGAGUAAGACAGACAAUGAUGGUAAGUAUCACCAUUAAGAAAGCUCGACUUGUCGCUAAGAUGUUUUCCGACAAGUUCAAGGAGUUGACUACGAUGAGACUUUCUCACUCGUAGCGAUGUUAAUAGUCUAUUGGAAUUAUAUUAGCAAUUACUGCAUGAUUUAUGAAAUCUUGCAGAUAGGAUGUCAAAACAUUGUUUCCUCGACGAUAUCCUUGAGGAAAGGUUGUAUGUGAUACAACUAGAAGGUUUUGACAAUCCUGAAAGACGUUAACAAGUAUGCAAAGCUCCAACAAUCCUUCUAAGGACUGGAGUAAGCAUCUCGGAGUUGGAAUGUACGCUUUGAUGAGAUGAUCAAAGAUUUUGGAUUUAUACAAAGUUUAUGAGAAAUUUGUAUUUUCAAAGAAGUGAGUGGGAGCACUAUACAAUUUCUGAUGAGUAUAUGUUGUUGACAUAUUGUUGAUCAGAAAUGAUGUAGAAUUUCUGGAAAGCAUAUAGGGUUAUUUGAAAAGUGCUUUUCAAUAGAAAACCUGGAAUAAGCUGCUUGAACAUUAGCAUCAAGAUCUAUGAGGAUAGAUCAAAAAUGCUAAAUGGUACUUUCAAAUGAGCACAUAUCUCGACAUGAUCUUGAAGGUGUUCAAGAUGGAUCAGUCAAAGAAGGAGUUCUUGCCUGAGUUGUAAGGUAUGAAGUUAAGAGUUAAAGCUCGACCACGGCAGAAGAGAGAGAAAGGACGAAGGUCAUCCCCUAUGCUUCAGACGUAGGCUUUAUAGUAUGCUAUGCUGUGUAUCGCACCGAAAGUGUGCCUUGCCAUGAGUCUGGCAAGGGGGUACAAGAGUGAUCCAGGAAUGGAUCAUUGGACAGCGGUCAAAAUUGUCCUUGGAGUAAAUAAGAACAUGUUUCUUGAUUAUGGAGGUGAUAAAGAGUUCGGCGUAAAGGGUUACAUCGAUGCAAGCUUUAACACCUAUCUGAAUGACUCUGAGUAGCAAACCGGAUACAUAUAGUGGAGCAACCAUUUGGAAUAGCUCCAAGUGGAGCAUGAAAGCAGCAUUUACAAUAUGACCUAGAGAUUUGCGAAAUACAUACGGAUCUGAAUGUUGCAGACCCGUUGACUAAAACCUGUUGACUAAAACCUCUCUCACAAGCAAAACAUGAUCAAACCCUAGAACUCAUUGAGUCUUAAUCACAUGGUGAUGUGAACUAGUUUAGUGACACUAGUAAACUCUUUGGAUGUUGGUCACAUGGCGAUGUGUCCUAUCAGUGUUAAUCACAUGGCGAUGUGAACUAGAUUAUUGACUCUAGUGCAAGUGGGAGACUGUUGGAAAUAUGCCCUAGAGGCAAUAAUAAAUUGGUUAUUAUUAUUAUAUUUCCUUGUUCAUGAUAAUCGUUUAUUAUCUAUGCUAUAAUUGCAUUGAUAGGAAACUCAGAUACAUGUGUGGGUACAUAGACAACAUCAUGUCCCUAGUAAGCCUCUAAUUGACUAGUUCGUUGAUCAAUAGAUGGUUAUGGUUUCCUGACCAUGGACAUUGGAUGUCGUUGAUAACGGGAUCACAUCAUUAGGAGAAUGAUGUGAUGGACAAGACCCAAUCAUAAGCCUAGCACAAAGAUCAUGCAGUUCGUAUGCUAAAGCUUUUCUAAUGUCAAGUAUCAUUUCCUUAGACCAUGAGAUUGUGCAACUCCCGGACACCGUAGGAAUACUUUGGGUGUACCAAACGUCACAACGUAACUGGGUGGCUAUAAAGGUGCACUACGGGUAUCUUCGGAAGUGUCUGUUGGGUUGGCACGAAUCGAGACUAGGAUUUGUCACUCCGUGUAACGGAGAGGUAUCUCUGGGCCCACUCGGUGGGACAUCAUCAUAAUGUACACAAUGUGACCAAGGGGUUGAUCACGGUAUGAUGUGUUACGGAACGAGUAGAAAGGCUUGCCGGCAACGAGAUUGAACAAGGUAUCGGCAUACCGACGAUCGAAUCUCGGACAAAUACAAUACCGCUGGACAAAGGGAAUUGUAUACGGGAUUGAUUGAGUCCUUGACAUCGUGGUUCAUCCGAUGAGAUCAUCGUGGAACAUGUGGGAGCCAACAUGGGUAUCCAGAUCCCGUUGUUGGUUAUUGACCGGAGAACGUCUCCGUCAUGUCUGCAUGGUUCCCGAACCCGUAGGGUCUACACACUUAAGGUUCGAUGACGCUAGGGUUAUAAAGGAAGUUUGUAUGUGGUUACCGAAUGUUUUUCGGAGUCCCGGAUGAGAUCCCGGACGUCACGAGGAGUUCCGGAAUGGUCCGGAGGUAAAGAUUGAUAUAUAGGAAGUAUGGUUUUGGCCACCGGAAGUGUUCCGGGCAUCACCGGUAGUGUACCGGGACCAUCGGACGGGUCCGGGGGUCCACCGGGAGGGGCCACAGGCCCCAGAGGCAUACAUGGGCCAAGUGUGAGAAGGGACCAGCCCCCUAGGUGGGCUGGGGUGCCUCCCCACCAAGGCCCAUGCGCCUAGAGAGAAGAGGGGAGGCAAACCCUAGGGCAGAUGGGCCCUAAAGGCCCAUGCCUGGUGCGUCUCCCUCUCCCCCCCACUUGGUCGCCACCCCAGAUGGGGAUUGGGGCUGCCGCCACCCCUAGGGAGGGAACCCUAGGUGGGGGCGCAGCCCUCCCUCUCCCCCUAUAUAUUGGAGGCAAAGGGGCGGUCCAACACACGAAGUUCUUCUCAUGUUGGCACAGCCCUACCCCUCUCUUUCUCCUCCUCUCUUGCGGUGCUUGGCGAAGCCCUGCUGGAUUGCCAAGCUCCUCCAUCACCACCACACCGUUGUGCUGCUGCUGGAUGGAGUCUUCCUCAACCUCUCCCUCUCUCCUUGCUGGAUCAAGGCAUGGGAGACGUCACCGGGCUGCACGUGUGUUGAACGCGGAGGUGCCGUCCGUUCGGCACUAGGAUCUCCGGUGAUUUGGAUCACGACGAGUACGACUCCUUCAACCCCGUUCUCUUGAACGCUUCUGCUUAGCGAUCUACAAGGGUAUGUAGAUGUACUCUCCUCUCUCUCGUUGCUAGUCUCUCCAUAGAUAGAUCUUGGUGACUCGUAGGAAAAUUUUGAAUUUCUGCUACGUUCCCCAACAAUAUCACUGGUAGUCACUAAACUUGCGUCAAAUGUGCAGUUUAGUGCUAGAUCUUUGAAAAUACGUUUUUUUUUGUCAUACGACUUGUCAUUUGGUUCAAAUAUUUCUAGUGCCUGUGUAUUCAGCAUGCAUGGAUCCACUGUCAACGACCUACACUGUUUCAAGAGCGACAAGCGCAUGGCUUUUUGCCCAAACCCCCCUCGAAUCCUGUUUAUUUGUGGCCGCUGCAUGUCUCUGUCUGUUAGGCAUACGGGCACUGCAGCAGAGGGAGAUGAUAGACAUCGCAACAAAAGAGGUAGGUGGACAGAACUGACCUGAAUCCUCUCACUAUCCAACUGGCUACGUGCCUUGGGUUUGAAUCCCAUAGACAUAUUUGUACUGGAUUUUUUUAUGAAACUACAGCACAACUCUGUACUAAAUUUUUAGAUAAAACUGCAGUGCAGAUAUAUACUAAAAUUUACAUACAAAAUGCAGUACAGUUUUGUACUGAAUUUAACCAUGAAAUUAUCACAAAGAAUGAAGCUCGGUACUGAAUUUUACAAUAGAGAUGCAGUACAUACUUGUACUGAAUUUAACCAUGAACUUUCUACACACAGUGACCAUCAUCAUGAACCAGACAUAUGCAUACUGAUUAUUACCAGGCAGAAAGAUGGCUCCAAACAGAAAAUAUAUAUUUGCAACAAGGAAAUCACCCAUAAUAACAGGGAGAGAUAUAGCUCCAAAAUACAAGCUCAUUUGUCUUCCAAACCUAAACAGAACAAGUAUUUUUUUACCCCAGCAAAAGUAGUUCAUUCAUGAACUAUGCCAAAGAAAAGUUCAUUCAUGAACUUCAUCACUUGGUCAUCUAAACUACAGAGAGAGGAAAUCAUGCAUGUCAUCUGUCCAUAGGAGCUGGGUAUGUAUAUUUUUCCUAUUUUAAGAAUUGUAACAGAAACAUCUUGUAAGUGAAAACAGAGAUAUCAUAAAAAGAGAACAAAGAGCAGCUUUGAAUAUAACAUGUCCACUGCAGAAAUUCAGUCACCAUGUUCUGCGCACAAAUUCAGUUAACAAGUUAAGUGCCCAAAUUUAGUUAACACUGCAGCAGAUAAAAAAUUCAGUUAUGUGCCAAUAAAACAAAUAAUUAUCACUUGCCAAUACAUCACAUAAUGUGCAGAUAACAUUUGAAGUUAACAAAUUCAGUCACAUAAUGUGCAGCAUAUUCAAUUAACUGAAUUUGCAAACAUAUUCAUUGUAUGCAGUCUAACAAAAAUUCUGUAAACAUCUGGAACCCCAACCUUACUGAACAAAUUGAUCAACCACCAUCUUAACAAAUCUGUGCCUAAAAUGAUUGAUCUAUUCUUUUGAUCUUACAUUUUCAAACAAAAAGCUUCCUCGUUCUUAACCCCCAAAAAAACCCUAGCUCAAAUUGCCAAACAGGAGAAUUAGAUCCUACAAAUGUAAUGCGUACGGCAAAAAAUCGUUUACUCACAAUGCGUACGUGAAUGAAUUAAUUGUGAUCGCGCCACCAUACGUGAACACUACCGUGACGAUACGCAUCAGAGAAACGAGACAAAGAGGAGAAGAGACUAACCAUAUGACGGCGCUGCUUCACUCGGACGUCGACGACGCGGGUCGUCCAUCUUCUCCGACAACGGCCGUCUUGACGCACCGCCUCCGACGCCUCCAUAUUCGCCUCAGAAUGGUUAGGAGAUGAAGCGGUUAGGAGACACGUGGUAGCCACAAAUAGACAAGAUUCGAGGGGGUUUGGGCAAAAAAGCCACGCGUGUGUCACCCUGAAGUGCAGGUCGCUGAAAGUGGACCAUGCAUGCCGAAUACGCAUGCUGGAACAGAGUGACUGUAUUUGAACCAAAUAACAAGUUGUACGACAAAAAAAACGUAUUUUCAAAGAUUUAACACUAAACUGCACAUUCUGCAAUCAAACGUGAAAGUCUAAUAUCUGAAAAAUGCAGCAUGGCUUUGAACAAUACCAACUUUAUGAAAGCUACUAGUUAAACAAUUAACACCAAAUCCCAUCUUCAAAACUGGCCCAAGUUAAGGUGGUUUGGAGAAAUUGAUACCUAAUUGUUUCUUUAUCUGCAUUAUGAACUGUUCUUCUUCUACACAACUUUAUCAUUACUCGAUCAAUUCCAUUUUUUAAAAUACUACUAGAUCAAAAUAGGAUGCAGCAACAAAACCAGAAACUAUUCACGACUGAAAGAGGGCACAAAAUAACUUUGGCUGAGCUUGAUUUUCCAACAGAAGCGAGUACGACUGAAAAAGACACAGGAGGUAUAGAUAAAACUGCAUAUCUUUUCUUCGCGUUAAAUUCCGAUGCGAAUCCAUCCGGCUAUAUAAUAACAAAACGAAAAAACAUCAGAAGGAAGUAACAGCAGCAGCAAAGAGUUCUCUACAGCUCGGACAACAGACUAAUAACAGCAGUCUCAACCACCUCCAACAACCGCAGACCCAAAGUAAGCAGCAGCGGUACCAAUUAUCCAUGUCUCCUCUCUCACCCUACUAACCCCAUUACAAAAAUUGGUUCCCUUAAAACCAUCUACAGCUCG